UACGUAGGGGGCAAGCGUUGUCCGGAAUUAUUGGGCGUAAAGAGCGUGUAGGCGGUCCGGUAAGUCCGCUGUGAAAGUCCAGGGCUCAACCCUGGAAUGCCGGUGGAUACUGCCGGGCUAGAGUCCGGAAGAGGCGAGUGGAAUUCCUGAUGUAGCGGUGAAAUGCGCAGAUAUCAGGAGGAACACCGAUGGCGAAGGCAGCUCGCUGGGACGGUACUGACGCUGAGACGCGAAAGCGUGGGGAGCAAACAGG
This 253-nucleotide ribosomal RNA is filed under the name uncultured bacterium. RNAcentral's name for it is "partial 16S ribosomal RNA". It matches the Rfam family "Bacterial small subunit ribosomal RNA", at positions 524 to 776 of the family's 1533-position model. The record is from RNAcentral.